AGACACUACUCUCACCUUUCCAUGUUUUAGACAUGCUGUGCUGGAUUCCCUGCUUCUUUCUGGGCUUUUUAUUUUGGGGCUCAGCUCAUGGGGUUCCCCAGACAAACGCCUGCCCCGACAUCACAGACCAGGAGCUGUUCUGGGGUUCUGACCAGUACGACUUUGCUAUAGUGCUCCCUGCUGCUGGGUUGGAGUGUUUCUGGCACUUUGCUCACCGUGGAGAGAGAUUUUACUUGAACUUCAUGCUCAGCAUUUAACAGCAUCAUCUUCUCAAAACUUGCCUCGGAGCUUGUUGACCUUGGGCUGGGAACAUCUAUCUGCAGAUGGAUUCUCUGAUUCCUCACAAACAAGCCCCAGGUGGUGAGAGUUGCGUUCCUCAGGGCGUGAGACCCUCGCCAUUUCGCGUCAGGACCAGCGCCGGUGCAGACCAUUUUCUACCCACACAGAGCGUUUCUGACAGGCGGCCGUUGCUUAUGCGUAAGAGAAAAGAACAAUACAACGCGGUUCUCUGCUCCAAGACAUCCGCGGUCCUUUCACACGAUGAUGAAAUCCUCUUUAUUUGAGAAAGUGUCCCUAAGCUACUGCGGCUCACUGAGUUCCCUAGCUACUUCUUUACUAUGUCAGUAAACUUUUUGAACAAGAAAGGUAUGGUAGAUUUAAGACACAUCUUAAUUGAAGCAAAGGCAAAAAAUCUGAAUGAAUCUUAUGUGGUUGUUCAUAUUAAAUCCAUCAAAGAGUGAAAAUCCAAAAGCUGCUGCAAUCCUUUGUAUUAAUGAUCUCUCUCUCUGUGUGUGUGCGUGCGUGCGUGCGUGCGCGCGCGUGUGUGUGUGUGAGAGAGUCCGUGCGUGCUCGCAGAAGGAAGGUCAAGGCAGGAGCUUUUUUGUUUGAAUGCAUUUCCAAUCAGCUUUUUUUUUUUUUUUUUACAAGAAGUGUGGCUCAUACAUUGCAAUAAAUGUAUUCUGCUACAUCUGCUAACGAGAGAACAUGUUUUUUCAUCAUAAAGACUGUGAUAUGAAGCAUUGUUAAAGUGUCACUUCAGUAAUGCUGCUGAGAGAAACAAGUGUUGACUCAUUUUUUUUUUAAAAUACAUGACUUAAAACACUAAAUUCUAAUUUCAAAGGUUUAUUUUAAGUUUAAAGAAUAUAACAGCUGGUAAGACGAUGAGUUUUGCUUCUCACUGUCCAUGUUAUGUUGUAGUAUCCAUUAUCAUGUAUGCUACUUUGCUCUGUGGACUGUAAAAUGUUUCAUUGUAUUCAUGAAAUAAACCAGACUUUCAAUGUCUGAAUCUUUUACCGUUUUUCUGCUUUUGUUCACCCCAAGUUGACAAAACCUGAAGAUAUCCAGAGUUAACUCACUAAAAUGUGGAGCAGUCUCAGUGUAUUCAGCUGCUUUUAUCCUAAACACAAUAUAAAUAUACAAUACACAAUAUAGUGUGUGUGUGUGUGUGUGUGUGUGUGUGUGUGUGUGUGUGAAUGCCUUAGAAGUCAAAAGUAU
Long non-coding RNA from Oreochromis aureus, 1494 nucleotides. Lineage: Eukaryota; Metazoa; Chordata; Actinopteri; Cichliformes; Cichlidae. The record is from Ensembl.